ACGGGUGAGUAACGCGUAUGCAACCUACCUAUCAGAGGGGAAUAACCCCGGCGAAAGUCGGACUAAUACCGCAUAAAACAGGGGCACCGCAUGGUGAUAUUUGUUAAAGAAAUUCGCUGAUAGAUGGGCAUGCGUUCCAUUAGGUAGUUGGUGAGGUAACGGCUCACCAAGCCGACGAUGGAUAGGGGAACUGAGAGGUUGGUCCCCCACACUGGUACUGAGACACGGACCAGACUCCUACGGGAGGCAGCAGUGAGGAAUAUUGGUCAAUGGGCGGGAGCCUGAACCAGCCAAGUCGCGUGGAAAAGGAAGAAGGAUCUAUGGUUACGUAAACUUCUUUUGCGAGGGGAAUAAAGUGCAGGACGUGUCCUGUUUUGUAUGUACCCUGAGAAUAAGGAUCGGCUAACUCCGUGCCAGCAGCAGC
This 424-nucleotide ribosomal RNA is filed under the name uncultured bacterium. Its description in RNAcentral is "bacterial SSU rRNA". It matches the Rfam family "Bacterial small subunit ribosomal RNA", at positions 102 to 518 of the family's 1533-position model. The record is from RNAcentral.